GCAAACUUGGUCAUUUAGAGGAAGUAAAAGUCGUAACAAGGUUUCCGUAGGUGAACCUGCGGAAGGAUCAUUAUUGAAUAAACCUGGCUGGUUGUCGCUGGCUCUUCGGAGCAUCGUGCACACUUGCCUUGCUUUAUCUUCAUCCACCUGUGCACCCUCUGUAGUCUCAAGGUUUUUGUCGACGGGUUUCUGUCGGAGGAGGAUCUGCCAUGCUGCGCUGUCUUCCUUGCCUUUGAGACUAUGUGUCUUUCCAUACACCAUGUAGUCUGUCGCAGAAUGUAGUCAUCGGGCCUGUGUGCCUAUGUAAUCACUAUACAACUUUCAGCAACGGAUCUCUUGGCUCUCGCAUCGAUGAAGAACGCAGC
Molecule: unclassified non-coding RNA, 365 nt
Filed under: uncultured fungus
Lineage: Eukaryota; Fungi
Description: partial contains small subunit ribosomal RNA, internal transcribed spacer 1, and 5.8S ribosomal RNA
Rfam family: Eukaryotic small subunit ribosomal RNA (bases 1-73)
Source: RNAcentral